ACACGAUACAAUCCUAAAUUUCCAAUCAUCAGCCGCUGUGAACCGCCGGCGUGACACGCGAUUCCAAUUCCAGGGAUCGGGAUAUCAUAUCCCCAAAUUGUUGGAACCCUAAUUUGAAAAUCUCCCAUCUUUGGCUGCUGCGAUUAGGAAUCUUCUUCGUUUCUUCAAUUUUUCUUCUCUAAUGUCAGUCGGCACGAAUCGGUGCAUAUAAACACUAUAUGGCGAGAAUCCUUUCAACGUUUACAGAAGCCUUGCAGUCCCAGGUCGUUUUCCAUUUCCCAUGGCCACCGACGCUUCCCCAAAAUUGCAGGAUCCAGUCCCCCAGACACACGAUUUCGACCAAAGAACCGCGACUGCGGAGCACGAUGGGCUUCAAUUUUGGCAGUUCAUGGUCGCUGGCUCCAUCGCCGGCAUGGUGGAGCAUAUGGGAAUGUUCCCCGUAGACACUGUCAAAACGCGGAUGCAAGCCCUGGGAACUUGCCCGAUCAAAUCGGCCAGCGUGAAGCUAGCGCUUCAGUCAAUUCUGAAAUCGGACGGCCCCAAAGGCUUCUACCGCGGGAUUGGCGCUAUGGGAUUGGGCGCUGGCCCCGCGCAUGCCGUGUAUUUCUCCGUUUAUGAGAUUUGCAAGAAGAGCUUCUCCCGAGGGAAUCCAGAUAAUCACGCAGCUCAUGCUGUUUCUGGUGUUUGCGCCACGGUUGCGAGUGACGCUGUGCUAACCCCCAUGGACAUGGUGAAGCAGAGAUUGCAGUUGGGGAGUAGUCCGUACAAAGGAUUGUGGCAGUGCGUGCAGACUGUUUUCAGAGAGGAAGGUAUUCGGGCGUUUUACGCUUCCUACUUAACGACAAUCCUCAUGAACGCGCCGUACACAGCUGUGCAUUUCUCAACCUAUGAAUCCACGAAGAGGGGACUGACGAAAGUUUCCCCGGACAGUGCGGAUGAAGAGACGCUAAUGGUUCAUGCUACCGCUGGAGCAGUAGCUGGGGCCUCCGCUGCUGCCUUGACCACUCCUCUUGAUGUGGUGAAGACUCAAUUACAAUGCCAGGGUGUCUGUGGAUGCGAUAGAUUUGCCAAUGGUUCAAUUAAGGAUGUUGUUCGAACAAUCAUAACGAAAGAUGGUUACAGAGGCCUUAUGAGGGGUUGGAUGCCCAGAAUGCUCUUCCAUGCUCCUGCUGCUGCAAUUUGCUGGUCCACUUAUGAAGCUGCCAAAACCUUCUUCCAAGAAUUAAACAACGGUCGAAGCUCAGGUACAAGCAGGUAGUUAAUGGAACUCAAUUCUCGAGCCAGAGAUGUCUCAGCCCUUGAUCUACAAGGGUUUUGUUUCAUGGUAUCAGAGCGGACUUUGACGGUGGUGGCGAACGAAGCGAAUCGGGGGAGGAGCAUGCAAGUGGCACGUCAAUGAUGAGUAUGUCCUAUGGGAACUAGAUAUUCCAUAGUGGAAUUCUGGAAUGCUCCCAGCGUGGGGGAGUACACUCGCUCGAUAUUGCUGGACACAUCAAAGAAGAGCAUGUCCUAAUGUAAAUGGACAUUCUAAGAGGAGAGUGCUUCCAAGGUGGGGGAGUACGCUCGAUGUUGCCGAAGGACCAAGGUGACCGAGUUUUGUUCGUGAGGGAAAAACUACGUUAAGGACGAUCUUCAGGUGAAGAAUGCACAAGCCACAAAAAAAGAUAUCC
Andrographis paniculata is the source of this 1670-nucleotide RNA transcript. RefSeq lists it as uncharacterized. The transcript is spliced from 4 exons. The record is from RefSeq and is a predicted model, not a curated record. NCBI's taxonomy places the organism in Eukaryota, Viridiplantae, Streptophyta, Magnoliopsida, Lamiales, Acanthaceae.